This is a non-coding RNA of Rhopilema esculentum, 847 nucleotides long. NCBI's taxonomy places the organism in Eukaryota, Metazoa, Cnidaria, Scyphozoa, Rhizostomeae, Rhizostomatidae. The record is from RefSeq and is a predicted model, not a curated record.
CUUCGAUGUCGACAUUUGAUUUUGGUAAACUUGCUGCGUCACAGUUUUCAUAUCGGUUAUUCUUGGAUCUUUUGCAGGACAUUCCCGUGGCAGAUUGACCAAAGUAUUGUAAAAGAUAUUCUCAUCCAGCUUCAUCACACGGACAUUCCCGUGGCAGAUUGACCAAAGUAUUGUAAACAUAUUCUCACCCAGCUUCAGCACACGGGCAUUUGCGAGACGUUUUGACACCACGAUUUGAAUGAAAGACAUUUCUUCUUUGGCCUUUGUUUCGUUAUAAUUUGAUUGAUUUAGAGGAUCUUUGUAUGUUUAUUGUAAAGUUGAAGGAUAAUUCAAGAUUUUGCAUCCUGCUCUCAAAUAGUUUCAGCGAUUGAUAGGACCCCUAUUUCAUAGAUUUUCAUACCCUACUUCCAAUUGGAUUUUUACGAGGAUGUUUAUGAAACACACGGUUCCCUCAUUGUACUUUUACAGAGUUUGCCCCCUAUGCGUUAUAAACAUCUAUUAGAUUUUGCUUUAAAUGUGCUAUUUAACUUUGGAGGAUCCUCAACUCUAGCCAUUUAUUGUUACCAAUCUUGCAAUUGGUUUUUUACGAGGAUGUUGGUGAAAUACACGCCUCCCUCAUUGUGAUAUAUUUGAGGGUUUGCCUCAUAUAUUUUGAAAACAUCAGAUUUUAGAUUUUGCUUCAGUUAUGGAUUUUGUUUUCAGGAUUCUCCACUCUAGGGUUGGCACACCAAUAGUAACUAUUAAUUGUUGUUGUUUUCAAAAUUAGCAAACAUUUUGAUAAUUAUUAUGAUGAUGAAGUAGAUAUUUGUUUUUCUGCUAGAAAUCUGCCAUUGAACACAAGUUAGGA